UUACUUUUUAGUAUCCUCAAUACACAAUACACACGCAAAUCUGGCAUUCUUUUCUCUCCAUCCUCUCACUGCCAGAGCUCACUGAAGCUCUGACAAAACCACUCCUUAAACCCGAUCCACCAUCAGCCCCCUUUUUUCCAUUUUUUUCGACCAAAUCCACUCCAAACCAGUAACGCCCUCUCUUUCCUCCUCCAUUUUACUGCUAGCUUGCCGAAGGUGGUGACCGGCAAGCUUUGAGCUCCAGCCGUGCCACCACGACGCCCCUCUCUCAUUGAUCUCUCUUUUUCCCUCUCCUAUCACUGCACCCUCUUUCCACUGCCCAGAUCGUGAUGGGCCAGAUCUGUCCGAAAUUUGUAUUGCCGGUGUUGCUUCAAUGAAGUCGUAGAAGCAACAUCACAACUUUUCCCUUUAUCCUCUUUGUUUUGCUACUGUUUCACUAAUAGCGACUAGAUAUGGUCGGACUUUUCAUGGUUUAAGUGUUCCUCCGAUCAGGCAGACAGGAUGUCGUCUCUAGUGACCUCUUCUUUAAUAUGUAUUUAUAUAUGUUAUAAUUAUUUUCUUGAUUUAUUUUUUGUUGUUCAUUAUAUCGUUUUUUUUCAAUUUUUAUCAGAUUUGUGGUUUGUUCGGGUGUUUUGAUUGUUACUUGCUAGUAUCAUAGUUGUGGAACAACUUUGCUAGUUUCAUGUCUGUUAUUGCCUUUGUUUUGGGGCUGAUUAACAUUCUGUUUUGGGUAAUUGCAUUACAUUUUACCCCUUAUAAUUUUAUUACACUAAUAAUGAACAAGAUACUACAUAUUUAGGGCGAUAAAGAAAUUUUUCGUCGAUUUUUGAGGCCUCCAUAAAUAAAAGACGGAUAUUACGUAUACAAAUAUGUAAUAAAAAGGGUUUUAUCAUUCUUAUUUUGGCAAGGAAAUUUAGGACGAUCAAUCAAUUGAGCAACCACUACGUAGCCAUGCCGCAUCUAAAAAUUUAAUCCGAGCCCAUCUUUUACCAAAAAUUAUAUUUUAAAAUACAUAUAUGCACACAUACCUUUAAAAUUUAUUUUGAUAAUUAUUUAUUUGUUACUAACAUUUUUGUUACAAGUGUUUAUACAGGUGUUUGAGAAUACUCGUUGGGAAAGACAUUUAAAGAAGAUUUUAAAUUGUUUUGUACUUUUAUUUUUUUAUACUUGUACAAAUAUUAUCAUAGUGAAAAUUUUAUUUUUGGGGUGUUGGGUG
This 1216-nucleotide long non-coding RNA is filed under the name Capsicum annuum. RNAcentral's name for it is "long non-coding RNA (CANN_LNC013584)". Lineage: Eukaryota; Viridiplantae; Streptophyta; Magnoliopsida; Solanales; Solanaceae. The record is from RNAcentral.